UGGUGCGAAGAAAAAGUCGAUUAAUGUUCGCAGUACGAUUUAACGACGUUGCUUAUAGAGAACAAGAGAAUCUCGAUAGAAAACUGCUGCAAGUAUAAGGAUGUGUUCGAUUUUCUGCAAUCUCUUCGUUGUUAACUCUUUGAUAGCGAGACAGGUUCGAAUAAACCGUCGACUGUAGCGCAGAUUUCGUAUCUUACGUGUUACUGUGCAUGUGCAUAACGCGAUGUUAUCUGAGAUUAUUGUUCGCGAAAAGCUACAAGUACGUACGAUACUUUUUGUAUCUCGUGUGAAAAAUACAAGAUAUAUCGAGGACAAGAAACAACAACUUUCUAAAUGGUUUGUUCUGAAUUCUUCGUUUUAUCGCGCUGUGAAAGGAUCGAGAGUGAUAACGAUAACUUGCUGUUAAACGAUUUUUGUUCACAGAGAGUGGAGACAGGAUUAUAUUCCCUGAAAAUCGAUUUUGAAAAUAUAUCCAUCACGUACUUAACUUCCAAGCAAUAAUUUAAUACACCACGAUACAGGAAAUAUGUCAGGUGUUGCCCUGUACAUGCUUAUGGGCGGCAGCGUGAGUCGGGCUCAAAAUCCGUGGCGAAUAGCGGCGUGAAAUAACGUCGAGCGUUGAAAAACCCAUUGAGCGAAAGUACUAGGGAAAGAGAAUGAACGCG
This is a long non-coding RNA of Bombus huntii, 665 nucleotides long. RefSeq lists it as uncharacterized. The transcript is spliced from 3 exons. The record is from RefSeq and is a predicted model, not a curated record. Lineage: Eukaryota; Metazoa; Arthropoda; Insecta; Hymenoptera; Apidae.